ACAAUUAUAAUACUGGUACCUUUGAUAACUAUUAUAGCAAUUCAAAAUAAACAGUUCCUCUUCAGCAUGGAAAUGACUAUAAUAUAACUAUACAAACUGAUAAACUAAUUUUGUCACAACAUCAUUUAAGUGGAGUUAGUCUUAUAGGAUUUUGACUGAACAAUUUGUUCAAUAUUCUGACCAGUUGAACAAUUUGGUUUAAUAAAACAAAUUGCAAUUUGGUCAAAAUUUUGAAUGAGUUGCAAUUUGUGGAGAGCAACACUAACAGUCAAGUCAUUGUAAAGAGUUAUAACAGCUAGAGUUCUUGAAAUCAAAGGUCUAUAGUAGGGGGGUUCAACAUACCAUGAGAGGGGGUCAAAAUACCAUGGCACAGUAAAAUUUUCAAAAUAGCUUUUAAAGGCUGUAGAUUUUCUAUAAAAAUCUUGGUUUAUUUGCAAAAAGUACCCUUUUUCUAUUAAACCCUCUUUUUCUAUUAAACGCAAUAAAACAGUAAAUAAUAAUGCUUUGCAUCAAGUUUCCCCCUGGUAUAUGUACAAAACCGCACAUCUCUAUUAUUCAUUAUAUCUGUAGUUUUAUUGGAGUAUUAUCAAUGUUAAGGAUUAAGUAUAGCUAGAAUUUUUGAAAUGAGAGUUCUAAAGUUGGGGAUUCAAUAUAUCACAAAAGGGGAGGGGGUAAAACUACCAUGGCUAAGUAAAAUUUUCAAAACAUCUUUUCAAGCAAGUAAAAUGCAUACAAACUACUUAUUGGAAUACAAUUACUAUGUUAAAUAGUUAUAACAGCUAGAUUUUUUGAAAUCCAAGGUCUAUAGUAGUUCAAUAUACCAUGGUAAAUGUCAAAAUACAAUGGUAAAGUAUAAUUUUCAAAAUAUCUUUUCCAUCAUGUUAAAUACAUACAAACUACUUAUUGGAGUAUUAUCACUAUGUUAUACUUAUUGGAGUAUUUUUACUAUGUUAAAGAGUUAGAAUAGCUAGAAUUUUUGAAAUGAGAGGUCUAUAGUAGGGGGUUCAAUAUACCGCAGGGGGUCAAAAUACCAUGGCAAAGUAAAAUUUUCAAAACAUCUUUUCAAGCAAGUAAAAUACAUACAAACUACAUAUUGGAAUAUAAUUACUAUGUUAAAGAGUUAUUACUAUGUUAAAGAGUUAUCUACAGAAUUUGGAUUUCAAAUAAUCUAGCUGUUAUAACUCUUUAACAUAGUAAGUAUAUUCCAAUAACAGCUAGAUUAUUUGAAAUCCAAAUUCUAUAGUAGGGGGUUCAAAAUACCAUGGUAGGGGGUCAAUAUACAAUGGCAAAGUAAAAUUUUCAAAACAUCUUUUUCAUCAUGUUAACUACAUACAACCUACUUAUUGGAGUAUUAUUUCUAUGUUAAGGAUUUAGUAUAGCUAGAAUUUUUGAAAUGAGAGGUCUAUAGUAGGGGUUAAAUAUACCCCAGGGGGUCAAAAUACCAUGGCUAAGUAAAAUUUUCAAAACAUCUUUUCAAGCAAGUAAAAUACAUACAAACUGCUUAUUGGAAUAUAAUUACUAUGUUCAAGAGUUAUAACGGCUAGAUUUUUUAAAAUGAGAGGUCUAUAGUGGGGGGUUCAAUAUACCGCAUUGGCGGGGAUCAAAAUACCAUGGCUAAGUAAAAUUUUCAAAACAUCUUUUCCAUCAGGUUAAAUACAUACAAACUACUAAUUUGAGUAUUAUUACUAUGUUAAGGAGUUAAUAUAGCUAGAAUUUUUGAAAUCCAAAUUCUAUAUUAGGAAGUUCAAAAUACCGCAAAAGGGGGGGGGGGGUCAAUAUACUGCAGGGGGGUCAAAAUAUCUUGGCUAAGAUAAUUUGCAAAACAUCUUUUCAAGCAAGUAAAAUACAUACAAACUACUUAUUGGAAUAUAAUUACUAUGUAAAAAAGUUAUAACAGCUAAAUUUUUUGAAAUUCAAGGUCUAUAGUAGGGGGUUCAAUAUACCAUGGUAGGGGGUCAAAAUACAAUGGCAAAGUAAAAUUUUCAAAAUAUCUUUUCCAUCAUUUUAAAUACAUACAAACUACUUAUUGGAGUAUUGUUACUAUGUAAAGGAGUUAGGACAGCUAGAAUUUUUUAAAUGAGAGGUCUAUAAUAAGAGGUUCAAUAUACUGCAGGGGUGCAUUUAGGUGGUUUUGUUGUAUUCAGGAUAAUGUAUACAUAGUAAUUGUAUGAUGUUCAAUUAUAUAUGCAUAGUAAUAAUAAUGAUUUAUUGAAUUUGUUAUUAUUUAUAAUAUAACCCAGGCAAACUAAGAUUAUGCGAGUUGUUCAUAUUUGGCUCGAGUGUGUUAUUAAAACCAUCUUUUUGAUUUUUUGAUAAGCAGUGGAAAAGUAUAUUUUGUUUGUGGUGUAGAUUAAAUAACUUGAGCUUAAAUCGAAAAAAUGCAAAAGUUCAUAAGUGGGCUGAUAGAAUGUGUAUUAAGGAUAACAGCUGGAACUUUUUAGUAAGUAACUCCUUUUCUGGAUUGAAUUUAAGUCAAAUACAUGAGAAAAAAAAACAUUUUCAUUAUGUUGCUGACAUUUUUGAUGUACAUUUUUAUACUUUAGAUGAUAUUCAGAUAACCAAAAGUCAGUGUUUUUAUUCUCAUAUGUAAAUAUGAUACAUGUUUGUUCCGAAAUUUGUUGUUUGAUUUUAAAAAGGUUUAAAAAUUUUAUAUGUAGUAAAUUUAUUGAUUGUGAUUAUUAUUAUACAACCAAGGCAACUAAGAUUAUGUGAGUUGUUCAUAUUUGGUCGAGCCUUUUUGAGCAGGAAAAGUAUAUUUUGUGUUGUAUAGAUUAAAUAACUGAGCUUAAAUCGAAAAAAUGCAAAGUUUAUAAGUGGCUGAUAGAAUGCAUAUUAAGCAUAACUGUUAAAAGAUGGAACUUUUUAGUAAGUAACUUCUUUUCUGGACUGAAUUUAAGUCAAAUACAUGAAAAUAUUUUUUUAUUAUGUUGCUGACAUUUUUAAUGUACAUUUAAUACUUUAGAUGAUAUUCAGAUAACCAAAGGAUAGUGCUUUUAUUCUCAUAUGAUACAUGUGUGUUCCGAAACCUGUUGUUUGAUUUUAAAAAGGUUUAAAAAUUUUAUAUAUUGUAGUAAAUAGUAUCAUUCACAUUGUUUAUUUAGAAUAUAUAAUAAAGAAUGCUAAUAAAGAGUUUACAUUGCUUGCCUGCAAACUUUGUUUGGUUGUUUUCUCAGACAUUGUUAUUAAGAUUGACACCUAAUUUCAAUGAAUAGGUACAGUAUUUAAAAAUGGUAUACAUGGAUAAUAUAUAUACAUUUUAUACAUCGACAAACAUGGUAACUUUUGCUUAGAAUAGCACACAGGGCUAAAAUCAGGUUUUCGUC
Molecule: long non-coding RNA, 3323 nt
Filed under: Mytilus galloprovincialis (Mediterranean mussel)
Lineage: Eukaryota; Metazoa; Mollusca; Bivalvia; Mytilida; Mytilidae
Source: RNAcentral